Molecule: ribosomal RNA, 253 nt
Filed under: uncultured bacterium
Lineage: Bacteria
Description: partial 16S ribosomal RNA
Rfam family: Bacterial small subunit ribosomal RNA
Source: RNAcentral
UACAGAGGGGGCAAGCGUUAUUCGGAAUUAUUGGGCGUAAAGGGCGCGUAGGCGGCUACACAAGUGGCGGGUGAAAUCCCUCGGCUUAACCGAGGAACUGCCUGCCAGACUGUGUGGCUUGAGACCGGGAGAGGUGAGUGGAAUUCCCAGUGUAGCGGUGAAAUGCGUAGAUAUUGGGAGGAACACCAGUGGCGAAGGCGGCUCACUGGACCGGAACUGACGCUGAGGCGCGAAAGCGUGGGGAGCAAACAGG